This 278-nucleotide ribosomal RNA is filed under the name Enterococcus faecalis. RNAcentral's name for it is "partial 16S ribosomal RNA". It matches the Rfam family "Bacterial small subunit ribosomal RNA", at positions 419 to 689 of the family's 1533-position model. Lineage: Bacteria; Bacillati; Bacillota; Bacilli; Lactobacillales; Enterococcaceae. The record is from RNAcentral.
CGGAUCGUAAAACUCUGUUGUUAGAGAAGAACAAGGACGUUAGUAACUGAACGUCCCCUGACGGUAUCUAACCAGAAAGCCACGGCUAACUACGUGCCAGCAGCCGCGGUAAUACGUAGGUGGCAAGCGUUGUCCGGAUUUAUUGGGCGUAAAGCGAGCGCAGGCGGUUUCUUAAGUCUGAUGUGAAAGCCCCCGGCUCAACCGGGGAGGGUCAUUGGAAACUGGGAGACUUGAGUGCAGAAGAGGAGAGUGGAAUUCCAUGUGUAGCGGUGAAAUAC